UUGUAUAUGUCAUGUGGAUUGAUAGAUAAUUUCAGUGUCAUAUAAAAUAUAAUCGUAAAGCUCUAUUUUAACACACUAAUAUUUGUGAGGCAAGGAAUUUGUGUUUUUAAGGCGUUUAGUAUUUCGAUGCAUCGACGGUCACAUAUAAUUACGACUGCUUUUACGUUAUCAGGUGAACUGAAAAUGUGUUUCUAUCCAGUACAGAAUUUCAAAACACAAUGGCCUAUAUUCGUUACAUCCGGGAUAUGUGAUACUGCUAUACAUGACGUCACCAGCAAGCGUCCGAGCAACAGCCAUGUUCUUUUGCAAAUAAACUCUAAAAAUCGACUAAAAUGCCGCGUGGAAGGCCUCCUAAGUUGAAGAUUCGUAUUGACGGUUUAUCAGGAAUCAAUGAUGAAAAUUCUGGUUCCAAAUCUCCAGGCACUGGCCCAUAUAAAUGUGACAAAUGUGAGCAGGAAUUUCCUAAAUGGGCCCGAUUAAAACGGCAUGAACGUAAACACGAUUACGAAAAACCACACAAGUGCCAGGCCUGUCCUGAGGCGUUCAACAAGGAAUACAACUUGAUGCUACACAAAGCACUGCAUAAGUUAGAUACACCACAGUGUCCCGAUUACACGUGCCACAAGAAGUUCUCCAGAGUUGCUAGUUUGAAGGCUCAUCUUCUUAUACAUGAGGAAGAUGAAUGCCUUGAUUGCCAAGACUGUGGAGAAGAGUUUAAUUUUCAGAGUGAACUUGACAAGCAUCUGAAAACUCAUACAGAUAACAAUUUCGAAGAUGGUGCUGCAGUGGACUGUAAAAUAUGCGGUGAAGUUUUUUCCCUACCAUCGGCACUCAAAGAACACAUGAUACGAUACCACUACAAGGCCAAGUCCAACCUGUUGAAUGCAAAGUGUUAUCGUAAGCACAUCGAUCGCUCAGCCUUUCAACAUGAAUGUGAUCACUGUGGAAAAUGUUUCCAGAAACCAAGCCAACUCCUACGACAUCGAAGAAUACACACAGGUGAGCGGCCUUACUCUUGUGACCAAUGUGACAAGGCAUUUAAUCAGAAAGGAGCACUCCUCAUCCACAUGACAAAGCACACAGGGGAACGACCUCAUCGCUGUGACCUUUGCCCGCAGACAUUCUCACAGAAGGGAAAUCUUCGAGCCCAUAUAGCCAGAGUGCAUGAAAUCAACCGAGGAAUGCACAACACAUACCAAUGUGAAGAAUGCACAUGUGUCUUCCGGAAGCUGGGAAGCUUAAAUGCACAUGUGAGUAGAAUGCACGGUGAAGAAGGCUUGGUCUUGACUAGUCCUCAUAUUGAUAUUAUUGAGGAAGUUGAACCAGUUAAUAUGAUGCUACAGAAUCGAUUAGGAUUGAGUGACCAGGCAGUUGACGAUGUUGUUCAACAGUUGAUGGGCCUCUCCCAGCAAGUAACUGAUGCCACAGAUGCAACAAACCAAAUUCAACAAAUAGCCAUGAGUAGUAACAUCAGCUCAGACAUCUUACAAGAGGCAUUAGAAAACAGUGGUCUGACUGCAGCUGCAGAAGCUGAAAGUCAAAGCCAACAGAGUCAAGAUGGAAAUGAUGGAUCAAUGAUUGUACCUUUGCAAGGUAGUCAUGAUGUUAUACAAUGUGUCCAACAAGUAGCUCACUCUGUUGGAAUACUUCUGAAAAAGCAGCAGAUUAAAAGGCGUGGAGUUUCUCGAUUUCAUCAUUGCGAUUUUUGUCAAAAAUCUUUUAAGAAGCCAAGUGAUCUUCAGAGGCAUAUCAGGAUACAUACUCGAGAAAAGCCUUACAAAUGUGCUGAAUGUCAAAGGGCAUUUACUGUGAAGAGUACUCUAACUGCCCAUAUGCGUACUCAUACAGGUGUCAAAGAAUACAAGUGUCAUGUUUGUAAUAAAUGCUUUACAACACACGGCAGUAUGAAAGUUCACUUACGCCUACAUACUGGAGCAAAACCCUUUAGUUGUCCACAUUGUGAUAAAAAGUUUAGGACUUCAGGUCAUAGGAAAACACACAUUGCUUCCCACUACAAGGAGGCCACAAUAAGAAGACCAAGAAGAACGUCAAGACCUAAGCCUUCAGUGGACCUUCCUGAAGUCACGCUUCAAGAACCUAUCCUGAUUACCGAUAAUGGGCUAAUUCAACAGCCAUCACGUAGUUCAAUCAACCAAUUUUUAUCUGGCGAUCUUCAGCAGAUUGGAAGUGUUGAUAGACCUUACAAAUGUGGCCACUGUGCACGUGCCUUCAAGAAAUCUAGUCAUCUUAAACAGCAUACACGUUCUCACACUGGUGAGAAACCUUACAAAUGCACUGAGUGUGGAAAGUGUUUUGUGUCAACAGGUGUACUCAAAGCCCACAUGCGGACUCAUACAGGUGUUAAGAAUCAUCAAUGCGGUAUGUGCAAUGGUCUGUUUACUACUAGUGGAAGCCUCAAAAGGCAUAUGUCAACACAUAGUGAACUACGCCCAUUCAUGUGCCCUUACUGUCAAAAAACCUUCAAGACCUCUGUGAAUUGUAAAAAGCAUAUGAAGACACAUAAAAGAGAACUUGCUAUGCAGCAGCUGGAGCAGCAACAACAUGGACAAGACCAAGUUGUCAGUCAGCAACAGCAGCAGCAACAGGACGCUAGCCUUGCUGAGCUUGAAGAGCAGACUACAGCCAUCUUGGAACAACUUGGUCAAGCACAGGCUCUUGGUCCUGCUACUAACCUAUCUGACCAAACUGUAGCACAUAAUACGGUUGUCCAAGAAACAUUGACAGAGCCGACUGGUAUGCUCCAAGAAGGAUUAUCCCAGGAGACCCUGACUCAAGCAGCACUAGGGACUCGGAACCUAACACAAGUGACUCUUACACAACAGACAUUGAAUGCCCUUGCAAAUCAGCAAGUAUUGGCAGCCAACCAGCAAGCCCUCUCUCAGGAGCAGCAGAUCAGCUUGCAAACCCAACAGAUUCAACAACAGUUAGAAGCCAUUACUGGCCAACGAUCAUCAAUUUUACAGCAGCAGACUGCAAACAGCUCUGCCAUGCAAGCCAUUAUGCUAAACAGUAUGCUUCAACCACAAGUGCAAAAUGACACUGAUGAUGGGAAAAGAACUUAUGUUUGUUCCUAUUGUUCAAAAGCCUUUAAGAAGUCUAGCCACUUGAAGCAGCACGUACGAUCUCACACUGGUGAGAAGCCGUAUCCUUGCGAGCAAUGUGGAAGAGCUUUUGUCACUGCAGGUGUCCUGAAGUCCCAUUUGCGAACUCAUAGUGGUGUAAAGAGUUUCCGCUGCAAUAUCUGUCAAGCAGCCUUCUCAACCAAUGGAUCUUUACAUAGACAUAUGACAGUACAUAGUUCUGAGAGACCUUUCAAAUGUGAUCAGUGCAAUCAGACAUUCCGGACAAAACUUCUACUGAAACGCCAUGAAGCAUCACAUUUGAAAGAACAAACUAAGAUUACAAAGAAAGCCAAAGAUGUAUUGCAGUUAACUAGUGAGGAAGCCAUGCAUCUUGUUAAUUCGUCACCAACCAAAGGACUCUCUGUAUCGGAAACCAUUCUUAUUCAGUCUGCUGCAGAAAAAGACCGCAUUAGUGAAAUUAAGGAUAAGUUGGAAGAGUUAAAAAAGGGUCCAAAACAUAAGAAUCAAUGCACUAAAUGUCCAAAAAGCUUCAAGAAGCCAAGUGAUCUUGUGCGUCACCAACGAAUACAUACUGGUGAAAAACCAUUCCAAUGUGAAAGGUGUGACAAAGCCUUUGCUGUUAAAUCAACUUUAGAUUGUCACAUGAGAGUUCACAAUGGUUCUAAACAGUUUACUUGUCACAUGUGUGAAUCACAGUUUGCUACAAAGGGUAGCUUAAAAGUUCACAUGAGAUUGCAUACAGGAGCAAGGCCUUUUAAAUGUCCUCAUUGUGAUGAGUGUUUCCGUACUUCUGGAUCUAGAAAGAUGCAUAUCCAGCAGCAUCUGAAACCUGAGACUGCAACAAAAAAACAGCGUAAACAGGCACAAGCUAAGCAGGUGGUACAAGCCAUGCAAAUUGAAAAUGAAGCAAAUAUUCAAUCAGCUUCAGUUGCCAUGACAUCAGAACCGAACACAUCUGUUUGCCAAGUACAGACAACUUCUGGUACUGUGGAUCAAAGCAACUUACAGGCAGCAUUUCCUCAAGGUGUUGUUCCUAUUGCCUUAACAGGUGGUGAGUAUGCACAGCUCAGUGAUGGUUCAAUAGCAACGGUAUUGACACAGGGCUUAGAGGGCAUGCAGUUGCAGCUGAGCACUGCUAACCUUGGGCAAAUUUCUGGCCUAGACUCUAACAUUACUGUCCAGAUUGAUCCAAGUAUUCUGCAACAACUUCAGCAGGCUGUUUUGAAUCCUGUUACUCUUCAAACUGAAUUAGGAACAAUCCAGGCAAGCUCUGAGACCUCUUUACCACAUGGAGCAGUCAUCCAGAAUAUAGAAAUGCAACCUAAUUUCUUAGUUCAGCUUGAUGGAAAUGCUCUUUCACAAAAUAUACUUCAGGUACAACACUCAUCAGAUUCCGGUACAGUGCAAGUUGUUGAUAACGGUGCCAACCAUGCUGAUGCUAUUCGCAUUGUGCAAACUGAUUCAGGUUAUGCUGCUGUACCAGCUAUGCUACAGCAAACACAGGUGACAGAGCCUGUAUCUAAUACUCAAAAUAUAUCUGAAGUUGGCAGUCACAGAGUUAACAGACCAGAAAAAGUACAAGGUAAUUCACAGUCUGUAACAGAUCCACAGAUCCAGGGCCAUAUGGUGCAAGAGGCGACACCUCAGAUAUUUUUGCAGUCCCAAGACAGAGUCCAAGAUGAUGCCACUCAGUCUUUACUCCCCCAGACAUCCUAUGAAAACAUCCAGAUAACACAAGCCUCAGAAGCACCAGCAUUACCACUUGCAGCAAGUACCAUACAAUCACAGGCUGAAGCUGGCAAUAGCAUACAGCUUUCUCUGGAAAGUGGGGAAACACUGACACUCCCUCAGAAUAUUCUCUUUCAGCAGGAGCUACUACCACAGGCUGCUUCAGUGCAGGAUAGCAGAAGUCGUACCCCACAGACUGCAUUUUCCGAUACCUCUAUGGAUGUAACUGGAUUAGGUGAAGGAAUGGUUGAAGCAUCAGAACAAAGUGCUGAUCUACUUGGAGAGAACCUCACUCAUGGUAAUCAACGUCUAGACAAGGAUGAAGUGAAUGCUGCAUCUAGUAGCGCCCUUUCAGCUGCAGCAUCUAUUGGUGCCAUCUACCCUUGCACAGAACCUGAGUGCAAAGUAGUUUUUACUCAGAUGAACCAAUUGAGGCGCCACCAACGAGAAGCACAUGAAGAGGUAAGACCCCAUGUGUGCCAAAUUUGUACCAAGGCAUUCAAACGCAUGGGUCACCUGAAGGAGCACCUUGCCACACAUCAGCCAGGCCCGUCACCUAGCAGAAAUAAACCCACACCCCAUGUGUGCUCAGAGUGUAACAAAGCAUUUGCUAAGCCUAGCCAGUUGGAGAGGCAUAGACGGAUACAUACAGGUGAACGACCGUUCAAAUGCCCACAGUGCGAUAAAGCAUUCAACCAGAAAAAUGCUCUUUCAAUCCAUAUGAAUACUCAUACAGGUGAACGGCCCCACAAGUGCCCUUGUUGUGAGCAUUUGUUUUCUCAAAGAGGAAAUCUAAAGACGCAUAUUAUUCGCAAUCACCAAGAUAAGCUAAUACCUGGCACAAACCUAAUGGAAGUUGGGGUUGGAAUAGCUUUAGACCUCAAUGAGGUCAUUGGUGACGAGUCAUUUAAUGACCCAACAGUGAAAUCAGGGGAUGAGGUUGAUAAUGUAACAGAAGGUCUCGAUCUGGAUGGAACUAUGAACUUCUUUGCUGAUUGAGUAAACAGUUUAAGAAAAGGAUGAGACUCAUGGAUUUCCUUACAGAAUGAGAGGUGGUUUGGAUGACUCUAGACCAAUAGACUACCAAUGAAAUGCAGUGGAGCACAUAAUUACUUUUCUUCCUUCACUUCCGUCACUGAUAAUGCUAAUGGUAUUAUUAUAAAUGGGAUGAAAUUGACUGAAACAGAAGACUCAUUUUUGUGGUAGGGGUUCUCAAAUUUGAAUCAAUAUGGGCUCUAAUAGGUUGUUUGUAAAAUCUUUUUAAUUACAGUAUUAGACACAAUGUAUUUAUUCAAGAAAUCAAAUCAAUAUGUAACAUUAAAGACAUUCUAGUCAACAGUGCAGUAUAACUAAUGAUUUUGAUUUUAUCUGUUAAAUUUUUGCAUUCCAUUGUGAUGCAUUUUCAAUGAAUGUUGUUGAUUCAGAUGUUACUAUUACAAAAUCAACUUUAUUGUACAAGUAUUGUAUUGCAAAUUAUUUCAGCUAUUACCACUAUUGAAUUUUGGUUUGAACUAAUAUUCUGUUUUGUAUUUACUCAGUAUUUACCUGGAGUCAGUGAUACCACUAUAUAUUCUAAUUAAAUAAAUAAAAAUAAUAAUAAUAAAUAAUUGACUUCACUCAUGA
Molecule: unclassified non-coding RNA, 6455 nt
Filed under: Anneissia japonica
Lineage: Eukaryota; Metazoa; Echinodermata; Crinoidea; Comatulida; Comatulidae
Description: zinc finger protein 236-like, transcript variant X1
Source: RNAcentral